This 496-nucleotide ribosomal RNA is filed under the name uncultured bacterium. RNAcentral describes it as "partial 16S ribosomal RNA". It matches the Rfam family "Bacterial small subunit ribosomal RNA", at positions 28 to 506 of the family's 1533-position model. The record is from RNAcentral.
GAUGAACGCUGGCGGCGUGCCUAAUACAUGCAAGUCGAGCGAACAGACGAGGAGCUUGCUCCUCUGACGUUAGCGGCGGACGGGUGAGUAACACGUGGAUAACCUACCUAUAAGACUGGGAUAACUUCGGGUAACCGGAGCUAAUACCGGAUAAUAUAUUGAACCGCAUGGUUCAAUAGUGAAAGACGGUUUUGCUGUCACUUAUAGAUGGAUCCGCGCCGCAUUAGCUAGUUGGUAAGGUAACGGCUUACCAAGGCAACGAUGCGUAGCCGACCUGAGAGGGUGAUAGGCCACACUGGAACUGAGACACGGUCCAGACUCCUACGGGAGGCAGCAGUAGGAAAUCUUCCGCAAUGGGCGAAAGCCUGACGGAGCAACGCCGCGUGAGUGAUGAAGGUCUUCGGAUCGUAAAACUCUGUUAUUAGGGAAGAACAAAUGUGUAAGUAACUAUGCACGUCUUGACGGUACCUAAUCAGAAAGCCACGGCUAACUACGU